This 450-nucleotide long non-coding RNA is filed under the name Elaeis guineensis (African oil palm). Its description in RNAcentral is "long non-coding RNA (EGUI_LNC027926)". The record is from RNAcentral. Lineage: Eukaryota; Viridiplantae; Streptophyta; Magnoliopsida; Arecales; Arecaceae.
GGGCAGAAGUGAAGGAGCUCGGUGCCUCCGAAAGGUCGGUCGCGGCAGUCAAAGAGGUCUCGACUGGAGGGAGAUUGGUAGCAACUUUGGAAGGUCCGACUUCAUCGUCGGAUGCCUCAUCCAGGAAGCCGAGGUCCAGUUCAGGAAACUUUCCGACCACCUUCUCCUGGUAGAGCUUGAAGCCUUUGAUGAAGGCUGUCUGGCCAAACUGGACCUUCAGAUCCCUCAUCUCGGAGGAGGUCUUGAACUCCUCCACUGCUCAGACCCUUGCCUCUGAGACUAGGAUUGGGAUCUGCUCCCUCAGCGGAGACCUCGGCCUCUGCCUUCUUUCUUUCUUCCUCCAGGGCGGCCCUCAGAUCUGUCGAGGUUUGUUCCUCUCUCUGCAGCACCUCUUGGAGACUCGCGACCUCGACGACCUUCUCCUUGAGGCGAGUGACCUCAGCCUGGCGG